UCCCUGUUACCAGGGCAGUCUAGUUAGAGAAAUACAACUAACUAAAAGGGUUGCGCUCGUUGAAGGACUUAACCUAACAUCUCACGACACGAGCUGACGACGGCCAUGCAACACCUGUCACCGAAUUCCUUACGGCACAAUUUCCUUUCGGAAACCUUCUCGGGAUGUCAAACCUGGGUAAGGUUCUUCGCUUACCAUCGAAUUAAACAACACGCUCCACCGCUUGUGCGGGUCCCCGUCAAUUCCUUUAUGUUUUAGUCUUGCGACCGUACUCCACAGGCGGGAUGCUUAACGCGUUAGCUUCGCUACAAGAAGGGUCGAUACUCCUUACAGCUAGCAUCCAUAGUUUACGGCGUGGACUAC
RNAcentral lists this unclassified non-coding RNA (363 nucleotides) under uncultured bacterium. RNAcentral's name for it is "contains 16S-23S intergenic spacer region". The record is from RNAcentral.